Vigna radiata var. radiata (mung bean) is the source of this 2467-nucleotide long non-coding RNA. RefSeq lists it as uncharacterized. The record is from RefSeq and is a predicted model, not a curated record. Lineage: Eukaryota; Viridiplantae; Streptophyta; Magnoliopsida; Fabales; Fabaceae. The transcript is spliced from 3 exons.
ACAGUGACCCACCAUGUCUCUACUACACUUAUCAACGAAUUAAAUAAUGAUACAAUUUUAUUUAUUUUUAUUAUUUUUAUUAUUUUCAUUAUUCAGCCUGCACCAACUCCUUUAAACGCUUUACUCUUUUCAUUUCUUUAUAACACUCCUUUUCUUUCCUCACUUGAGCGCAGAUAUCCAUAAAAAAACAUACCUCAUUUAGGGUUUCUGCCAUCAUCUACCUUCCUCUUCACCUCCUCACCUUCAAUUCCUCUUUCUGUUUUUUUUCCAUCUUUCUCUUCUCAUUUCUCAUCCAAACCCUUUCAAUUAACACACACACACUUCAACACUACUACUUCUAAAUUUUCUAGAUCACUUCCAAUUCUAUAUUCUCUUCGAUUCUCACUGCUCUUGCACUUCUCAUGAUUAGGGUUACCUGCACUUGAUUGCUGCUCUAUGCCUACCACCUCUUUUCUUAGCUCUUCGAUUCAAUAUGGUAUAUACAUGUACCCUUUUAUAUAUGUUGCUACAAACUUUCGUCAAAUUUUUUAAAACCAACAUAAUUCACAAAUUUUUUAUACUUGCAUGGAUUACAUAUAUAUACAUAUUUUGUACUCCUUGUUGCCAGUUCAGCUUUUUACCUUUUCCUUUUCCUAAGUUUUCUUUUAUUUCAAACUGGCCUUGUUUUGGGCCUACUGAAAUGCCUUUUCCAGUUACUUCUUCUGUUAGUUUUGUGUGAAUUAAUAAGCAGUUAAUCACUAACAUAAUUGCAAUUACAUUAGGUCAAUUUGGGUUCAGAUCAGCACAAAGGGUUUCCACUUGAGCAAACUGUAUAUUUUGUCAUCUGAUCUAUUAUUCAUUGAUUCAUGUGAGAGAAUCUGAACAUGUAUGCUUUAAAGUGAUCUGUUUAUACAAUUGCCCAUUUUAUCAUUCAUCUAAACCCUUUAUAACCUCACUAUAUAUAUAUAUAUAUACAUACACAUAUAGGUUUGUUAAUUUCCUGAUAGGAAAGCACAUAGUAUAUAGUGUGACAAUGUGUUUUUGUGAUACAAGAGGCAAUUGAUUAGCCUGGUUUUUGAGUAGCUAUAGAUUGUUUUAUUGGUUUGUGAAUUAUCUGUGGGGCAGCAAGAAUAUGAGGAAGGUGAAGUGUAGAUGUUCCUUGAAAGCCUGGGAAGGAAAUAAAACGUGUAUGCAUUGAUGUAGAUGUGAAUGAGAGUACAGUAGCGGGAGAGAAAGAGAGUGAAGGAGCUUCCUUCAGCCCACGUAUGGGUAUGAGGGACUAAAGGGGAUCUCAAGUAUCUGCUGACUCAUUCAUACACACACAGUAGGGGUUUAUAUAAAGCCAUUUUCUACUGUAAUUGUGUGAAUGAAGCAGGAGAUAUUUUGCAUCCCUCUUACUCUGUGCUUGGACUGAAGGGGAGCUCCUUCUUUCUGUUGUCUCCAUCAUUGAUAUUAAUACAUAUAACAUUAUAAUAUAUCUGUCUCCAACAAGACCAAUUUCUUAGUAUUCAUCCAGUGGCACAAAAAGUUGCAGCCACAACUGUAGCUGAUGUAACAUAUCGUCUUCUAGGUCUUUGUAAGUAUUAACUCUUCCUCACUAGGCUGCCCAAGAUUCAGCCAACAUCUGCAACAGUGGCAUAUGAGUUUUAUAGCUGGAUGCCCCACCUAGUAGUACUUUUUCACUUCCCAGCAAAAUCAUCUUAUAUAACCACUUUCACAGCUCCUCAUCCACAUCACAUUACAUGGAAGAGAAUCACCACUGUACAUGCUACUUUCCUUUCCAGUUCUUCAACAUUACAAGCUCAGCUUCUCUCUCAUUUCCCUUGCUUUCCUUCAAUUCUUUUCUUGGUGGCUGAAAAAGCAAAGUUUAGGUGAUGAAGGGUCCAACAGUUCACAUGUUUUAUUCGUUCGAAACUUUGCCUCCUUGAAGAGACUGAAGCAAUAAUGGAAGAAGAAGUGAAAAGCCAUGAAGAUGGAGCUCAAAAGGGGUCAAAAAGGCAUCAAGAAGGGAGAAAACCCGGAGCCCAAGCGAGGACCAGGCGAUAGAAACGCGAAACAACGAUCUGGAAAUUACCACUGGUCACUCGGACGACGGACUCGACGCCUAGGCGAUAGACGUUCGUAGUCCAGGCGCCGAAAACUGGUGCCCAAGCCUUACAAAAGCAUUGAUUCACGCCCGGGCGAGCUCCCUGCGACGCUUGAGCGUGAUUUGACGCGGAUCGGGCCCUGUAUCUGCUCUGAUUUGAUUCUUUUGGACUAGGCCGCAGUUUGGAACACUUUUGGCACUAUUUAAAGGACCCUGGGGCUUUAGGUUUUGCAUCCCUGGCAGAAGCAAGCAUAACAAUACACUCUUAGCCAAAUUCUUAGUCUUUUCAUUCUUUCUUUCUUCCAUAGUUCAUAGGGUUCCACCAUGUUUAUGGGGAACUAAACUCUAUUUGUUGUUGGGGAAUGAUGUAACCUUGUAAACUCUCAUGUAUUUGAAUUGAUU